AUAUAUAUAUAUAUACUUAUUAAGUUUUACUUUUUUUUUUUGUGAUUUCAUCGUGUUGAACUGAUCUUAACUGGGACAUUCAAGCUGAGAUUGCAGAGGGAUUAAUUGUGUGUAUUUGUUUCUGCAGGGUCGACAGUGUGCUAAAGCAAAUGACAGAGCUACGUGACCAUGACAGAAGAUUGCAGCUUCUGGAGACAAAGGUCAGCAAUAUCUUGUACACUAGAUCAAUAAUAUAGGUUUUUGGAACAUUUUGAGUGAUUUUUAAGAAUUUUAAAUUUUUUCUCUUACAACUUUACUUCUUACAACAAAGUUUUCUCUUUACUUAAAAAUCAACUCAAAGGCUUCUGUAACCCAGACAGAGAACUAAACAUUUUACACAUUUUCCAUUUGUACAUGUAGUUUUACUGGUUGAGUCUGCCGCCUACUAGCUGUAUUUUUAUAAAGAAAAACUCCGAACACAGUUGGAGUGCUUUGUUUCACUGUGUAUAAUCUGUGGGAAUGUGCAGGUAAAUGAACAUGUGUUCAUAUUUGUGUGUAGUAUGUGUGCAUGGUGGCUCUGGUUUCCCCUCAGCUCAUCUGUGUGUGUCUCUCAGCUGGAGUACUGCUGCAGCGCUCUCUCCUGGAUGACAGACGCUCUGUCUCAGAGUCCCCUGAUGAAGGCUGGCCGCCUGCCCUCUGCCCCUCAGAGAUCUGACUCUGUCUGCAAGCAGACUACCUGAACUCUGGGAUCUCACACACACAUAUACACACACAAUGUUUUUUUCGAUGAAUCUUGAAUUUUGUUUUUUAAAGAUUCAUUUAAUUUGAUAUAUUUGUCAACAGUAGUACUGCUGGAAUGCAUUGUUGUCUGCUACAGUCCGACUAGAUUUUUAUAGCUCAAACCUUUUGUUUUGAAAAUUGUAGCUGAAUAUAUAUGUGGGUUAUGUGCUACACUGUACACGGUAGCCAUCCGCAUGGAAUCAAAGCCUGUGUAGGGAUGGCAUCAUUGUUUUGCAAGAGGGACGCUCGGGUGAUGUAGGUUAGAGGUUCCUCCGUCACCAUUUUACGUUCCAGUCUUACACUAAGCCACACAUUCAAGUGAAAAGGUCCUCUAGACCAAACUACGGUGGCCUUGAAGUGCAAAACACAACGACAAAUAGGAAAACACAACGAAAUUGACUUCUUACAGAAAGGGAAGGGCCUUAUAGCAGGAAGCAGUGGACGGACCCUUCUCAUGAUCUGGCGAUGUUUUACGAGUGUCUUAAAAGUGUCCUACUAGUGUUUCACCAUUGUUUUGUUGUUCAAUUAUAUUUAGGUGUUGUAUUUAAAAGUAAAUAAAAGCGCAGGGGGGGGUGGGGGGGUUGCCGCGGACGCUACGCGGGGGUCGGGUGCCGCGAACACUACGGCCGGUGGACGCCGCGGACGCGAUGGCCGACACGGCUCGGGGACCGAGGAAUUGGAUGUGUGGCGGGACUGCGUGACAAGAGACCGAAAUGGGGGACACUUGAGAGCCCUGCAUCCUUUCCUGUUAAAAGACAGACAGUCCGUCUGUCCAAUCAGAAGGGUCCAUCCUCUGCUAUAUGGCCCUACCCUUUCCGUAAGGAGUUCAUUUUGUUGUGUUUUCCUAUUUGUCGUUGUGUUUUGCACUUGAGGGUCACCGUACCAAACAGACCAAGUCAGGUUUUGUUAAAUAAAGGGCUUUACUUGUGUCAUAUGAAACUAGAAAUAUUCCUGUCUUCUACACUGGUUUUCUAGCCUUCUGACCACUCAAAGCUCUUUAACACUUCAUGUCGUUAUUCAGCCGAUCACACACACUGAUGACAGCAGCUACCACACACAGUGACACCUGCCCAUCAGCAACUAACAUUCACACACCUUGGUCACAGCUACGGGAGCAAAGUUUGGUGUCUUCAAGGACAUGCAAACUAGCUGGGGAUCAAACCUCUGAUUGAGGAUUGAUGAUGAAGUGCACUAAUGGCUUCUUACAUUAUGGUUAAUAUUACAUUAUGAGCAAAUAAAAUAAAACUAUAAUUCAUGCUUUCUAUCACAAAGGAUGUAAUUUGUGACAAUUGACAAUCUGUUAAUUGUCCUCUGUUCUAAUUUUCUGUAAAGAAUGCAACCUUUGGAAAUGCAUUGAUAAUGAUUGAGAGAAAUAAAUAGUUUUUAUGAGUGAAGAA
Molecule: long non-coding RNA, 2156 nt
Organism: Gasterosteus aculeatus aculeatus (three-spined stickleback)
Lineage: Eukaryota; Metazoa; Chordata; Actinopteri; Perciformes; Gasterosteidae
Source: Ensembl